Molecule: transfer RNA, 76 nt
Filed under: Magnetococcales bacterium
Lineage: Bacteria; Pseudomonadati; Pseudomonadota; Magnetococcia; Magnetococcales
Description: tRNA-His
Rfam family: tRNA
About the family: Transfer RNA (tRNA) molecules are approximately 80 nucleotides in length.
Source: RNAcentral
GCGGAUGUAGCUCAGUUGGUAGAGCCCUGGAUUGUGGUUCCGGUGGUCGUGGGUUCGAGUCCCAUCGUUCGCCCCA